Molecule: long non-coding RNA, 1333 nt
Organism: Hippocampus zosterae (dwarf seahorse)
Lineage: Eukaryota; Metazoa; Chordata; Actinopteri; Syngnathiformes; Syngnathidae
Exons: 2
Source: RefSeq, a predicted model, not a curated record
GGUCAGACCACCUCCAUCGGGUGGCAGCAGAGAGCUGAGACACAAGGAAGCCCAGCAGUCCUCCUGAAGGGAGUCGCUGAGCUCUGACAGGCUGACAUAUUGGAGCUGCACCGAGUCACCGUCGUACUGGAGAGAUACACAGUUUCCACGACAACAGGCACGUGCACUGUGGCGACGUACUGGGGAGCAAGCUGAGACGGAGUCAUGAGUUAUCAUGUGGAUGCUAAUCCAACCCACCGCCCUCCUUCCCCUUUUACCUGUGUCGAAGCUGUGAGCAAAGGUGGCACGUCCACAGGUACUGGGACACAUCCGGGUUCCUCUCUACCAGUAACCUCUGCAACACGCCGUCGUCAGGGCAAUUGCGGUCCGAGUCCGAGGCUAGAACGGCGCUAAACUUUGUCACCGUCACAGUGGAGCGCAGGCAAGUGCAAAGCAUGCUGGGCGGGAAGUCCGGACACGGCUGGUACAGGAAGUGAAUGUGAUGGAGCUGGAUUGGGACGGUAACAUGGAUCCUUUUUGUUUAAUUAUCACGCUAAAAUCAAUGCAUCAAGCAAGCACUUUUUAAAUAAGAUUUUUAAUUUCUCAAUUUUUCUAUAAGGCACUGUGAAAAAUGGCAGAUAUCUUGAAUCAUGAACAAAUAAAUUGGAUUCUAAAGCAGUAUUGGGCAGGUAACGGAAGGAAGCCAGAAAAAUAGAUUGAAGGAAGAAAUGAAAGAAAAAAGAAAACAAGUCUGAGGUAAAAGAAAGGUGGCAAGGAAGGAAGGGAGGAAGAAAGGAAGGAAUGAGGAAAAAAGCAGAAAAGUAUGUUAAACGAUGGGCAGAAAGAUGGAAGGGUGCAUGAAUAACAAGUGGGUCUAGGCGUCGGAAGGCCGGAGAGAAAAAGGUCAGAAGGAAACGUCUGAAGUCAAGAAAAGGCUAAGAACAAAAGGAAGGAAGGGAAAAAAAUAGUGUGAGCAAACAAAAGAUGGAAGUGGGCAGCAUGAAUAAAAAACAAGUGUGACGGAGGGAAGAAGAGUAGAGAAGUAGGUUCAAGCGGAGGAAGGAAGGAUGUAGGCAUGCAUGGAUACCAAGCAGGUCAAAGAGGAAGGAAGCAAUGCAAAAAAACGUAGGAGAAGGAAGCAUGCAAAAUGCUGGUGAUCCUGAUGGAUGGAAGGAAGGAAGGAAGGAAGGAAGGAAGGAAGGAAGGAAGGAAGGAAGGAAGGAAGGAAGGAAGGAAGGAAGGAAGGAAGGAAGGAAAGGUUCCAAAGAUAAAGGAAGGAAGGAAGGAAGGAAGGAAAGGUUCCAAAGAUAAAGGAAGGAAUGCAAAAAAACGUAGGCGAAGGAAGCAUGCAAAA